Long non-coding RNA from Homo sapiens (human), 960 nucleotides. The record is from Ensembl. Lineage: Eukaryota; Metazoa; Chordata; Mammalia; Primates; Hominidae.
ACAGCAGCCUGCCUCCUCUUUCGACAUCACAGAGGCUGCUGUGUCCUUCGCCAAGGACUCCCUGGCAGGUGGAGUGGCCGCAGCCAUCUCCAAGAUGGCGGUAGCACCCAUCGAGCGGGUCAAGCUGCUGCUACAGGUGCAGCAUGCCAGCAAGCAGAUCACUGCAGAUAAGCAAUACAAGGGCAUUAGAGACUGCAUGGUCUGUAUUCCCAAGGAGCACGGAGUCCUGUCCUGGUGCGGUAACCUGGCCAGUGUCAUCAGAUACUUCCCCCACCCAGGCUCUUAACUUCACCUUCAAAGAUAAAUACAAGCAGAUCUUCCUGGAUGGUGUGGACAAGAGAUCCCAGUUUUGGCGCUACUUUGCAGGGAAUCUGGCAUCAGGCGGUGCCACUGGGGCCACAUCCUUGUGUUUUGUGUACCCUCUUGAUUUUGCCCAUACUCGUGUAGCAGCUGAUGUGGGCAAAGCUGGAGCUGAAAGGGAAUUGCGAGGUUUCGGUGACUGCCUAGUUAAGAUCUACAAAUCUGACGGGAUUAAGAGCCUGUACCAAGGCUUUAACGUGUCUGUGCAGGGUAUUAUCUACCGAGCUGCCUGCUGCCUACUUCGGUAACUAUGACACUGCAAAGGGAAUGCUUCCGGAUCCCAAGAACACUCACAUUGUCAUCAGUUGGAUGAUGCACAGACUGUCACUGCCGUUGCUGGGUUGACUUCCUAUUCAUUUAACACCAUUUGCUGCUACAUGAUGAUGCAGUCAGGAUGCAAAGGAACUGACAUCAUGUACACAGGCACAUUUGACUGCUGGAGGAAGAUUACUCAUGAUGAAGGAAGCAAAGCUGUUUUCAAGGGUGCAUGGUCCAGUGUUCUCAGAGGCAUGGGUGGUGCUUUUGUGCUUGUCUUGUAUGAUGAAACCAAGAAGUACAUUCACUCCUAAUAAAUAACAAAUUUGGAGAAAUAAAAAUAUC